ACACAACCAUUGAGGAAAUAUCUAAUUAAAUACUACAAGUUAACAUGAUACAUCAUUACUGAGUUCGUCACUCUUGGUACAUUUGAAGAAUGAGAUCAAGAUGUCUUUCAAUGAUUAACAAUGAGAUAAAAUUUGCGAUAGAAAAGGGAUAGUGAAUUCUAAAUUCUAAUUCAGCAAAGUUUCAAGUGAAACGUACUCUUAAGGGCACAAUAGUAAUUUUUAUUGUUAAGAGUAUGUAGCACUACUAUGGCAUACAUUCAAAAUUGCUUGAAGUAUAUUUCAUUGAUUAUAUGGAUGAAUCUAACCUUAAGAUGCAGCAAAGUGUGGAAUGAGUCGACCC
RNAcentral lists this long non-coding RNA (340 nucleotides) under Phoenix dactylifera (date palm). RNAcentral describes it as "long non-coding RNA (PDAC_LNC009937)". The record is from RNAcentral. Lineage: Eukaryota; Viridiplantae; Streptophyta; Magnoliopsida; Arecales; Arecaceae.